RNAcentral lists this ribosomal RNA (301 nucleotides) under uncultured bacterium. RNAcentral's name for it is "partial 16S ribosomal RNA". It matches the Rfam family "Bacterial small subunit ribosomal RNA", at positions 509 to 807 of the family's 1533-position model. The record is from RNAcentral.
CAGUCGCCGCGGUAAUACGUAGGUGGCAAGCGUUGUCCGGAUUUAUUGGGCGUAAAGCGAGCGCAGGCGGUCAAUUAAGUCUGAUGUGAAAGCCCCCGGCUCAACCGGGGAGGGUCAUUGGAAACUGGUUGACUUGAGUGCAGAAGAGGAGAGUGGAAUUCCAUGUGUAGCGGUGAAAUGCGUAGAUAUAUGGAGGAACACCAGUGGUGAAGGCGACUCUCUGGUCUGUAACUGACGCUGAGGCGCGAAAGCGUGGGGAGCAAACAGGAUUAGAGACCCGCGUAGUCCCUGUCUCUUAUAC